RNAcentral lists this unclassified non-coding RNA (223 nucleotides) under Arthrocatena tenebrosa. RNAcentral describes it as "Arthrocatena tenebrio partial internal transcribed spacer region". The stretch from base 1 to 46 matches the Rfam family "Eukaryotic small subunit ribosomal RNA", at positions 1786 to 1831 of the family's 1831-position model. The record is from RNAcentral. Lineage: Eukaryota; Fungi; Ascomycota; Dothideomycetes; Arthrocatenales; Arthrocatenaceae.
AAGUCGUAACAAGGUCUCCGUAGGUGAACCUGCGGAGGGAUCAUUGAAGAGUUAGGGCCUCCGGCCCGACCUCCAACCCUUUGUACUUGAUACCAUGUUGCCUCGGGGGCGACCCUGCCGUCCGCGGUCUGGGGCCUCCGGUGGACCACUCAACCCUGCAUCUUUGCGUCUGAGUAAAUUUGUAAAUUAAACAAAACUUUCAACAACGGAUCUCUUGGUUCUG